GUCGAGAAUAAUUCACAAUGGACGAAAGUCUGAUGGUGCAACGCCGCGUGGAGGAUGAAGGUCUUCGGAUUGUAAACUCCUGUCAUCGGGGAGUAAGACCUGGCGGUAAAUAGCCGACAGGGUUGAUAGUACCCGAAGAGGAAGGGACGGCUAACUUCGUGCCAGCAGCCGCGGUAAUACGAAGGUCCCAAGCGUUGUUCGGAAUCACUGGGCGUCAAGGGAGCGUAGGCGGCGUGGUAAGUCAGAUGUGAAAUCCCGGGGCUCAACCCCGGAACUGCAUCCGAUACUGCCAUGCUUGAGGGUGGGAGAGGUAGCUGGAAUUCUCGGUGUAGCAGUGAAAUGCGUGGAUAUCGAGAGGAACACUCGUGGCGAAGGCGAGCUACUGGACAACAUCUGACGCUGAGGCUCGAAGGCCAGGGGAGCAAAAGGGAUUAGAUACCCUAGUAGUCC
This 450-nucleotide ribosomal RNA is filed under the name uncultured bacterium. RNAcentral's name for it is "partial 16S ribosomal RNA". It matches the Rfam family "Bacterial small subunit ribosomal RNA", at positions 354 to 796 of the family's 1533-position model. The record is from RNAcentral.